AAGGAAUUAGAGUUUAUAAUUCCUAGUUGUUGAGUUAUAGGGAUUAGAGUUUAUAAUUCCUAUUUGUUGGUUACAAAAGUUUUGUAAUCAGUUGUUGUUGAGGCUCAGAGUUAUUUAGUGAAGUUGGGGUUAAAUCCUGUAGAGGCGCAGGUCGUGGUUUCUUACACCUUUUGAGCCGGGUGUUUUCCACGUAAAAAUUAUUGUGUUCUUUACUUUCUGUUUUACUGCUUCCUUGGAACACGUCAGUGGAACACGUCAGGUAACCCAUUCCAUCAAUAGGCAACAUUUAGGCAAAAAUAAGAUAAUCAGUAGGGCACGAAUUUUUAACAAGGAGGUUCACUCAAAGUAUUUCACAACACAACUCUCUCACAAAUACUCUCUACAAAAAAGGAAAACAAACACAACUACAUUUUCUCAAAUUUUGUGUUCUUCUCAAAUUGGUGUGUCCCCUCAAUUGGGGUGUUCUUCCAUGUAGCUAAUGGGCUCCUUAUAUAGGCAAGAAUUACCCCCAUUAAUGUCAUCAAUGACAUCAAAGAACCAUGCAAUUUGCAGCCAUCUUUCUUGAAAAUAUUUGUCCAUCUUUGACUAGUUCUUUGGCAGCCAAAGAAGAAUAUUUUUGCUGCCAAAGUUGAACAAAAUGGGGCUGGACCUUACAAAUCUCCCCCUCCAAUCCCAUACGUCAUAGGAAGGUAUCUCCGUCUUCUUAAAGAGAUUUAGUAUAAUACUAGAUCUCGCCUUUUUAUCAAGGCUAUCAAACUCCUCGUCUGUCAUUUUUUCUGAAAUUUUUUCCUUUUCUUGCAGUGUGAUAUCAGAAUCAUCCUGGACUAGGAUAGCUUUCAUUUUCUUCGGUCAAAUUUUUCAACGUAAAUCUUUGUAAUCGUCAUGGUGACUACUAAGAUAAAAUCGGGAUUAAGCUGCUCUGAUACCCAAUUUGUUAGGAUCGAAAAUCCCGAAUAGUGCGAAAUUAAACAAAGUAAUCUAUUGAAGACGCUAACAAAGACGAUAAUAACGAUAAGUUGAGAAAAAUAAAGUAGGCAUAAAUUUAACAUGGUUCGGUCAACUUAACCUACGUCCACGACCAAAAGGAGGAGCAACUUUACUAAACACCAACGGAACAAAAAAAGAGUACAAAGACACAAAAGAGAGUACAAAAUUAGAGUAAUUAAAUACUCUAAUAUCCCAAAUACCCAAUAAAAUAACCUCACAAAUAUCACUCCAAAGAAGAGGUUCACUCAAAGUAUUUCACAACACAACUCUCUCACAAAAACUCUCUACAAAGAAGAAAAACAAACACAACUACAUCUUCUCAAAUGUUGUGUUCUUCUCAAAUUGGUGUGUCCCCUCAAUUGGGGUGUUCUUCCAUGGAGCUAAUGAGCUCCUUAUAUAGGCAAGAAUUGUCCCCAUUGAUGUCAUCAAUGACAUCAAAGAACCAUGCAAUUUGCAGCCAUCUUUCUUGGAAACAUUUGUCCAUCUUUGACUAGUUCUUUGACAGCCAAAGAAGAAAAUUCUUAAUGCCAAAAUUGAACAAAAUGGGGCUGGACCUUACACCCAAGUAUCAUAUCUGCACUCGUGACAAUACAUGGAUCUCUUGUGUAUUCAUGAUCAUCCAUAUCAUUAUCUCAAAGCUAUUGCCGGUUGUUCAAGUAUCUUUAUCGUUUUGUUGUACAGAUUUACAGGCAAUUUUUCAAAAAUAUGCAAAUUCUUUUCACAACAAGUAUUAUUAUUGGUUUUUAGUAGUACCAAAACAAACAACA
RNAcentral lists this long non-coding RNA (1754 nucleotides) under Capsicum annuum. RNAcentral's name for it is "long non-coding RNA (CANN_LNC001262)". The record is from RNAcentral. Lineage: Eukaryota; Viridiplantae; Streptophyta; Magnoliopsida; Solanales; Solanaceae.